Molecule: unclassified non-coding RNA, 176 nt
Organism: Chrysemys picta bellii (western painted turtle)
Lineage: Eukaryota; Metazoa; Chordata; Testudines; Emydidae
Source: Ensembl
UUGCCCGAUUAACUCAGCUGGAGAGCGAGUCCUCUGUUUGUACAGAGAACAGAAGAAGCAUUGGUAGUGGCAAGGCCAACUUCCCAUAGCCCCCGCCAAUGUGCCUGAAGUGGAUGGACCACCUCUCAGGGGGAGAGGAGAGUUCAUUUUCCUUGCCCAUGCAGUCCUUGCCUCUG